This is a long non-coding RNA of Mustela erminea (ermine), 762 nucleotides long. RefSeq lists it as uncharacterized. The transcript has 3 exons. NCBI's taxonomy places the organism in Eukaryota, Metazoa, Chordata, Mammalia, Carnivora, Mustelidae. The record is from RefSeq and is a predicted model, not a curated record.
GGCUUCUUGGAAAAGUCGCAUUCAGUGUAACUCAACCAAAAUGCAUCAGGGACCUGCUUUCUCUGUGCGGUGUGAGUUCCACUGGCCCCUGCCUCACUGACGGGACCCUUUGGAGUUGCCGGAUUUAGCAAACAAAAAUAUAGGACAUCUCCUUAAAUAGAAAGUUCAGCUCUGCAGGUGAGGAAACAGGCCUGGAGCGGCCGUGUAACUCGCCCCAGGACACAGAGCUCGAAAGUGCCAGUCUGGCUCCAGAGGUCAUGCUUUUGUCUGCACAGCCUAUCUGCAGUCUGGAUCGGGCCCCGGGGCCCAGCCGUUUGCAGCCUCUGGUUGGUGGGGCUGUGCCGUGCACUGGAAGCUGUACUCUAAAACGGGGUUCCAGUGUGUGUGUCUCUCCAGGAAGGCCUCCCCACCCCUAUUCCCGAGGCUGGCCUAGAACCGGCCCGGCCUCCACAGCUACCUAUCCUCCCCCGUGUGGCACUUGGCAGCCUGCGUGCUAAUCACGGUGGUACUUGUCCCCUUCCCUGGUGGCCACAGAGCCCGGGGAGGCCAGGGCUGUAGGUUAUUUUUCUGUGUAUCUGCAAAGCCCAGUACAAGGCCUGUGUGAACUGCGCUCCCAGCGGGUGCGUGAAUGAAGGAGGAGUCAGGCAGGGACUGUGGACCCGCCCGGGAGGUGUGGGGGCCUGGAGCUCCCACGCUGGGCACCAGGAUGGGGCGAGACAGGAACUCGGCCAUCCCCUGGUGAGGUUAUUUUGGUCGCCGCAA